UACGUAGGGUGCAAGCGUUAAUCGGAAUUACUGGGCGUAAAGGGUGCGCAGGCGGUUUUGUAAGUCAGCGGUGAAAUCCCCGGGCUCAACCUGGGAAUGGCCGUUGAGACUGCAAGGCUGGAGUGUGUCAGAGGGGGGUAGAAUUCCACGUGUAGCAGUGAAAUGCGUAGAGAUGUGGAGGAAUACCGAUGGCGAAGGCAGCCCCCUGGGAUAACACUGACGCUCAGGCACGAAAGCGUGGGGAGCAAACAGG
Molecule: ribosomal RNA, 253 nt
Filed under: uncultured bacterium
Lineage: Bacteria
Description: partial 16S ribosomal RNA
Rfam family: Bacterial small subunit ribosomal RNA
Source: RNAcentral